Ornithorhynchus anatinus (platypus) is the source of this 409-nucleotide long non-coding RNA. RefSeq lists it as uncharacterized. The record is from RefSeq and is a predicted model, not a curated record. NCBI's taxonomy places the organism in Eukaryota, Metazoa, Chordata, Mammalia, Monotremata, Ornithorhynchidae. The transcript is spliced from 4 exons.
UGACUUGCCCCCAGUCACACAGCUGACAAGUGGCGGAGCCGGGAUGGAACCCCCACCUCUUGCCUGCCACCUCGUUCAUUCUCUCCUUGAACGACCCGCUCAUAAUAAUAAUUACCGUAUUUGAGGGAUGCCUCAGGGGGGUGUGGCGCUUUGAGGAGCGGAGAGGUUCUUUGAAGUUGAGGCGUUCUGAGGAUUGUAAAACCAGUGGUUUUUUGGCACCACCUUAAGGGAAGCCGGCCAGGACCCAAGAGGCUACGUGAUCUUCGUGACGGCCAGAUUAGGGGAGGAGGAAGAAUUGCUGGAUUCACAGAAAGAGGAAAACGAACGGACCUCGCCUUUCCUGUGACUGGCAACCAGAAGAAGGCACAUCUAGACCACGGUGAGCCCGUCGUUGGGCAGGGAUCGUCUC